Molecule: ribosomal RNA, 2216 nt
Filed under: Escherichia coli
Lineage: Bacteria; Pseudomonadati; Pseudomonadota; Gammaproteobacteria; Enterobacterales; Enterobacteriaceae
Description: partial 23S ribosomal RNA
Rfam family: Bacterial large subunit ribosomal RNA
Source: RNAcentral
GGUUAAGCGACUAAGCGUACACGGUGGAUGCCCUGGCAGUCAGAGGCGAUGAAGGACGUGCUAAUCUGCGAUAAGCGUCGGUAAGGUGAUAUGAACCGUUAUAACCGGCGAUUUCCGAAUGGGGAAACCCAGUGUGUUUCGACACACUAUCAUUAACUGAAUCCAUAGGUUAAUGAGGCGAACCGGGGGAACUGAAACAUCUAAGUACCCCGAGGAAAAGAAAUCAACCGAGAUUCCCCCAGUAGCGGCGAGCGAACGGGGAGGAGCCCAGAGCCUGAAUCAGUGUGUGUGUUAGUGGAAGCGUCUGGAAAGGCGCGCGAUACAGGGUGACAGCCCCGUACACAAAAAUGCACAUACUGUGAGCUCGAUGAGUAGGGCGGGACACGUGGUAUCCUGUCUGAAUAUGGGGGGACCAUCCUCCAAGGCUAAAUACUCCUGACUGACCGAUAGUGAACCAGUACCGUGAGGGAAAGGCGAAAAGAACCCCGGCGAGGGGAGUGAAAAAGAACCUGAAACCGUGUACGUACAAGCAGUGGGAGCCUCUUUUAUGGGGUGACUGCGUACCUUUUGUAUAAUGGGUCAGCGACUUAUAUUCUGUAGCAAGGUUAACCGAAUAGGGGAGCCGAAGGGAAACCGAGUCUUAACUGGGCGUUAAGUUGCAGGGUAUAGACCCGAAACCCGGUGAUCUAGCCAUGGGCAGGUUGAAGGUUGGGUAACACUAACUGGAGGACCGAACCGACUAAUGUUGAAAAAUUAGCGGAUGACUUGUGGCUGGGGGUGAAAGGCCAAUCAAACCGGGAGAUAGCUGGUUCUCCCCGAAAGCUAUUUAGGUAGCGCCUCGUGAAUUCAUCUCCGGGGGUAGAGCACUGUUUCGGCAAGGGGGUCAUCCCGACUUACCAACCCGAUGCAAACUGCGAAUACCGGAGAAUGUUAUCACGGGAGACACACGGCGGGUGCUAACGUCCGUCGUGAAGAGGGAAACAACCCAGACCGCCAGCUAAGGUCCCAAAGUCAUGGUUAAGUGGGAAACGAUGUGGGAAGGCCCAGACAGCCAGGAUGUUGGCUUAGAAGCAGCCAUCAUUUAAAGAAAGCGUAAUAGCUCACUGGUCGAGUCGGCCUGCGCGGAAGAUGUAACGGGGCUAAACCAUGCACCGAAGCUGCGGCAGCGACGCUUAUGCGUUGUUGGGUAGGGGAGCGUUCUGUAAGCCUGUGAAGGUGUACUGUGAGGUAUGCUGGAGGUAUCAGAAGUGCGAAUGCUGACAUAAGUAACGAUAAAGCGGGUGAAAAGCCCGCUCGCCGGAAGACCAAGGGUUCCUGUCCAACGUUAAUCGGGGCAGGGUGAGUCGACCCCUAAGGCGAGGCCGAAAGGCGUAGUCGAUGGGAAACAGGUUAAUAUUCCUGUACUUGGUGUUACUGCGAAGGGGGGACGGAGAAGGCUAUGUUGGCCGGGCGACGGUUGUCCCGGUUUAAGCGUGUAGGCUGGUUUUCCAGGCAAAUCCGGAAAAUCAAGGCUGAGGCGUGAUGACGAGGCACUACGGUGCUGAAGCAACAAAUGCCCUGCUUCCAGGAAAAGCCUCUAAGCAUCAGGUAACAUCAAAUCGUACCCCAAACCGACACAGGUGGUCAGGUAGAGAAUACCAAGGCGCUUGAGAGAACUCGGGUGAAGGAACUAGGCAAAAUGGUGCCGUAACUUCGGGAGAAGGCACGCUGAUAUGUAGGUGAAGCGACUUGCUCGUGGAGCUGAAAUCAGUCGAAGAUACCAGCUGGCUGCAACUGUUUAUUAAAAACACAGCACUGUGCAAACACGAAAGUGGACGUAUACGGUGUGACGCCUGCCCGGUGCCGGAAGGUUAAUUGAUGGGGUUAGCGGUAACGCGAAGCUCUUGAUCGAAGCCCCGGUAAACGGCGGCCGUAACUAUAACGGUCCUAAGGUAGCGAAAUUCCUUGUCGGGUAAGUUCCGACCUGCACGAAUGGCGUAAUGAUGGCCAGGCUGUCUCCACCCGAGACUCAGUGAAAUUGAACUCGCUGUGAAGAUGCAGUGUACCCGCGGCAAGACGGAAAGACCCCGUGAACCUUUACUAUAGCUUGACACUGAACAUUGAGCCUUGAUGUGUAGGAUAGGUGGGAGGCUUUGAAGUGUGGACGCCAGUCUGCAUGGAGCCGGCCUUGAAAUACCACCCUUUAAUGUUUGAUGUUCUAACGUUGGCCCCUGAUC